GUUCCCCAUCGAGGGAAAUAGUUUUUUCCCAAUGAGACGCAGACCUUGUCUUGUCUCCUUUUCUUGUUUCCCAAAAAAGGCAAAGGUAUUCGUCCAGUGAUAAAUUUGAGACAGCUCAAUAGUUAUGAGCAUAUCAGCACUUCCAAGAUGGACGGAGGGCAUUGCUUAAGGGAUCUUCUCCAACCAGCAGAUUGGAUGGCCAAA
Molecule: non-coding RNA, 204 nt
Organism: Pelobates cultripes (western spadefoot toad)
Lineage: Eukaryota; Metazoa; Chordata; Amphibia; Anura; Pelobatidae
Source: the annotation of a GenBank genome assembly